UAUUCUCAACCUUCAUAACUUUUGUUAUCGAAGGCUUGGAUUUGGAGGUUGUGCUGGCUCUCGUUAGUCGGCUCCUCUUAAAUGCAUUAGCGUGAACGUUUGCCGAUCGCUAUCAGUGUGAUAAUUAUCUGCGCUGUUAGUGUUGAAGCAUCAUUAGUGUCGCGCUUCUAACCGUCCUUCACAGGACAAUUUACUUUGAC
Molecule: unclassified non-coding RNA, 200 nt
Filed under: uncultured Polyporus
Lineage: Eukaryota; Fungi; Basidiomycota; Agaricomycetes; Polyporales; Polyporaceae
Description: sequence contains ITS2
Source: RNAcentral